CAUGUGCCUUUCUUCUCCACC
This 21-nucleotide microRNA is filed under the name Aegilops tauschii. RNAcentral describes it as "ata-miR164b-3p". Its record names the gene ata-miR164b-3p. Lineage: Eukaryota; Viridiplantae; Streptophyta; Magnoliopsida; Poales; Poaceae. The record is from miRBase by way of RNAcentral.